AGUGAACGCUGGCGGUAGGCCUAACACAUGCAAGUCGAACGGCAGCACAGUAAGAGCUUGCUCUUACGGGUGGCGAGUGGCGGACGGGUGAGGAAUACAUCGGAAUCUACUUUUUCGAGGGGGAUAACGUAGGGAAACUUACGCUAAUACCGCAUACGACCUACGGGUGAAAGCAGGGGAUCUUCGGACCUUGCGCGAUUGAAUGAGCCGAUGUCGGAUUAGCUAGUUGGCGGGGUAAAGGCCCACCAAGGCGACGAUCCGUAGCUGGUCUGAGAGGAUGAUCCGCCACACUGGAACUGAGACACGGUCCAGACUCCUACGGGAGGCGGCAGUGGGGAAUAUUGGACAAUGGGCGCAAGCCUGAUCCAGCCAUACCGCGUGGGUGAAGAAGGCCUUCGGGUUGUAAAGCCCUUUUGUUGGGAAAGAAAAGCAGCAGGUUAAUACCCCGCUGUUCUGACGGUACCCAAAGAAUAAGCACCGGCUAACUUCGUG
RNAcentral lists this ribosomal RNA (492 nucleotides) under uncultured bacterium. RNAcentral's name for it is "partial 16S ribosomal RNA". It matches the Rfam family "Bacterial small subunit ribosomal RNA", at positions 29 to 507 of the family's 1533-position model. The record is from RNAcentral.